This 204-nucleotide long non-coding RNA is filed under the name Bos indicus x Bos taurus (hybrid cattle). Its description in RNAcentral is "lncRNA (ENSBIXG00000016748.1)". Lineage: Eukaryota; Metazoa; Chordata; Mammalia; Artiodactyla; Bovidae. The record is from RNAcentral.
UCGUGGAUUCCUGCAGCCUGGAUGAAGACAGGAGACAGAGGACCGACGCUUCCUGCCUUUCUCACUGACAGGAAUGUUCAGUUGGAGCUCUGCCAGCUCCCCUGGGGGCUGCCUCUGAAACUCAAUAGCCUACCGUGGUGUGAAUCAUUGUUUACGCCAUUCCAGGAGGCAGGAAUAGUGGAGCCCUGGCAGUGAGACUCUUCC